This 207-nucleotide ribosomal RNA is filed under the name uncultured bacterium. RNAcentral describes it as "partial 16S ribosomal RNA". It matches the Rfam family "Bacterial small subunit ribosomal RNA", at positions 568 to 774 of the family's 1533-position model. The record is from RNAcentral.
UCUGUAGGUGGCUUGCUAAGUCAGACGUGAAAUCCCUCAGCUUAACUGGGGAACUGCGUCUGAUACUGGCAAGCUUGAGUGCAGGAGAGGAACGCGGAAUUCCAGGUGUAGCGGUGAAAUGCGUAGAUAUCUGGAGGAACACCGGUGGCGAAGGCGGCGUUCUGGACUGCAACUGACGCUGAGAGACGAAAGCCAGGGGAGCAAACG